This 586-nucleotide ribosomal RNA is filed under the name uncultured bacterium. RNAcentral's name for it is "bacterial SSU rRNA". It matches the Rfam family "Bacterial small subunit ribosomal RNA", at positions 840 to 1427 of the family's 1533-position model. The record is from RNAcentral.
UUAGUGCCGCAGNUAACGCAUUAAGCACUCCGCCUGGGGAGUACGACCGCAAGGUUGAAACUCAAAGGAAUUGACGGGGGCCCGCACAAGCGGUGGAGCAUGUGGUUUAAUUNGAAGCAACGCGAAGAACCUUACCAGGUCUUGACAUCCCUCUGACCGCUCUAGAGAUAGAGUUUUCCUUCGGGACAGAGGUGACAGGUGGUGCAUGGUNGUCNUCAGCUCGUGUCGUGAGAUGUUGGGUUAAGUCCCGCAACGAGCGCAACCCCUAUUGUUAGUUGCCAUCAUUCAGUUGGGCACUCUAGCGAGACUGCCGGUAAUGAACCGGAGGAAGGUGGGGAUGACGUCAAAUCAUCAUGCCCCUUAUGACCUGGGCUACACACGUGCUACAAUGGCUGGUACAACGAGUCGCAAGCCGGUGACGGCAAGCUAAUCUCUUAAAGCCAGUCUCAGUUCGGAUUGUAGGCUGCAACUCGCCUACAUGAAGUCGGAAUCGCUAGUAAUCGCGGAUCAGCACGCCGCGGUGAAUACGUUCCCGGGCCUUGUACACACCGCCCGNCACACCACGAGAGUUUGUAACACCCGAANU